AUCCGGGUUGCGGACAGUGUCUGGUGGGUAGUUUGACUGGGGCGGUCUCCUCCUAAAGAGUAACGGAGGAGCACGAAGGUUGGCUAAUCCUGGUCGGACAUCAGGAGGUUAGUGCAAUGGCAUAAGCCAGCUUGACUGCGAGCGUGACGGCGCGAGCAGGUGCGAAAGCAGGUCAUAGUGAUCCGGUGGUUCUGAAUGGAAGGGCCAUCGCUCAACGGAUAAAAGGUACUCCGGGGAUAACAGGCUGAUACCGCCCAAGAGUUCAUAUCGACGGCGGUGUUUGGCACCUCGAUGUCGGCUCAUCACAUCCUGGGGCUGAAGUAGGUCCCAAGGGUAUGGCUGUUCGCCAUUUAAAGUGGUACGCGAGCUGGGUUUAGAACGUCGUGAGACAGUUCGGUCCCUAUCUGCCGUGGGCGCUGGAGAACUGAGGGGGGCUGCUCCUAGUACGAGAGGACCGGAGUGGACGCAUCACUGGUGUUCGGGUUGUCAUGCCAAUGGCACUGCCCGGUAGCUAAAUGCGGAAGAGAUAAGUGCUGAAAGCAUCUAAGCACGAAACUUGCCCCGAGAUGAGUUCUCCCUGACCCUUUAAGGGUCCUGAAGGAACGUUGAAGACGACGACGUUGAUAGGCCGGGUGUGUAAGCGCAGCGAUGCGUUGAGCUAACCGGUACUAAUGAACCGUGAGGCUUAACCUUACAACGCCGAAGGUGUUU
RNAcentral lists this ribosomal RNA (711 nucleotides) under Escherichia coli. RNAcentral's name for it is "bacterial LSU rRNA". It matches the Rfam family "Bacterial large subunit ribosomal RNA", at positions 2238 to 2925 of the family's 2925-position model. The record is from RNAcentral. Lineage: Bacteria; Pseudomonadati; Pseudomonadota; Gammaproteobacteria; Enterobacterales; Enterobacteriaceae.